This is a non-coding RNA of Stegostoma tigrinum, 1492 nucleotides long. The record is from the annotation of a RefSeq genome assembly. Lineage: Eukaryota; Metazoa; Chordata; Chondrichthyes; Orectolobiformes; Stegostomatidae.
AUGUGCGUAAAGGAGAAGGGCCAGGCUCUGAAUCAGAGGUGCGCUGUAUUUUGAAUGUUUUCUCACUCGUCAUAAAGGUUGCUGAAAAGCGAAGCUUGAAGUGGAAGAUGUAUCGGUUGCUCGUUCUGCUCAUCGUAUUUUACCAUGUGAAAUCACAGUAUAUCCACCAGAACCCCGCCGCCGUCUCCAAAUUUCCCGGAGAGGGUGUGAACCUGCAAUGCAGUGUGGAGGAGAGCAGCAGUAGUAUUCUCUACUUGUACUGGUACAAACAGUCCGCCGGAAAAGAACUACAACUGAUGUUUUACUCCAAUACAGCAGAGAACGUGGAUCCACAGAAGCCGGUGGACGGUUUCAAAGCCGACAGACCGAGUAACACCGAAUUCAACCUCAGGUCCCCCAGCCUCCAAGCGAAUCAUUCGGCAGUCUAUUACUGCGCCUGGAGUCUUCACAGUGACUCGGAGAGAUGAAGCAGCUCAACAAAAAGCCCAAAGGCGACAGGAAGCAACUUUUAUCGUCAAAACCUGCUGGUUUCGCAGUUUUUUCCUGUUUUUGUAGAAUCAUGGGCAACAAGGAAGAGGAUAGAAAGUAAUUACGUAUAGAGAUACUGUCAGAACAAAGAACUGCACAACACACAGAACAGGUCCUUCAAUUCUGAGCCGACACUCGAUGCUUAUAUAGCUAAAACCUUUUGUCCCCUGCUUAUUUGCGUAUGCGUCAAGAUGACUGUCAAAAGUUGCUCUUGCAUUCGCCUCUGCCACGUUCUCUAGUAGCGCAUUCCAGCAUUAACCAUCCUGUUGUUUUAAAUAAAAAGAGCUUGCCUCUCACAUUUCCUUUAAACUUUACCCCUUUUACCUUUAACUUAUGCCCCCUAGUGGUUGACAUUUUUGGCUUGGGGAUAACACUCCGUUCUAUUCAUGCCUGUCAAUUUUGUGAACUUAUAUCAGAUUGCCCUUCAUCCUUCAACGUUCAAUACCAUCCAAAGCAGGCCAGUGAAUCAUUUCCACACCCUCUCAAAGUCUCUACAUCCUUGUUGGUAGUGUGGUAGCGUUGAGGGCGAAUAUGAAAUUGAAAAUGGUAAAGCUCUCAACUACCAAGAAGGUUUGAACAGGUUCAUAUCGGUUGAAAAGCCCGAAGCUGUUUAAAAUUCUGGUGUGGGUUCAAUAGUUUAGGCUCUGCGGAACUUCUAAACUUGUAGUCACGGCAGUCCUCUCUGAGAGUAAAUCCAACUGGAAAAAAUCAACAGAAACAUUUUUUUUUACCGAGAUAGUAGUAAGAAUGUGGAAUUCGCAGAGCCACAGAAUGGAUUCGGGACAAGGCAUUGAAAAUAAGCGACUGACAGAAAAUGGCAGGGAAAAUACCAGGACGAUUUAAAAUUAUGUUUCUAUUGAUGCAACAGAGGGCGCUCUAGCAACAUGAAAUUCCCUUUUCCGAUGAAGGGUGACAUCUGAGGUUUAGACUUCAAUUUCGGAAAUAAAGUUGAAAUCUGUUUUCA